CAAUAGCGUAUAUUAAAGUUGUUGCAGUUAAAAAGCUCGUAGUUGGAUUUCGGGGCAGCCUGGCUGGUCCGCCGCAAGGCGAGUACUGGUCAGCCGCCCUUCCUCUCGAAAGCCCCGACUGCUCUUUACUGCAGUGGUCGGGUAGUUCGGGACGUUUACUUUGAAAAAAUUAGAGUGUUCAAGGCAGGCCGUCGCCUGAAUACAUUAGCAUGGAAUAAUGGAAGAGGACCUCGGUCCUAUUUUGUUGGUUUCCAGGGCCGAAGUAAUGAUUAAGAGGGACAGUUGGGGGCAUUCGUAUUUAAUUGUCAGAGGUGAAAUUCUCGGAUUUAUGAAAGACGGACAACUGCGAAAGCAUUUGCCAAGGAUGUUUNCAUUAA
Molecule: ribosomal RNA, 377 nt
Filed under: uncultured eukaryote
Lineage: Eukaryota
Description: partial 18S ribosomal RNA
Rfam family: Eukaryotic small subunit ribosomal RNA
Source: RNAcentral